AGAGUUUGAUCAUGGCUCAGAUUGAACGCUGGCGGCAUGCCUUACACAUGCAAGUCGAACGGUAACAGGUCUUCGGAUGCUGACGAGUGGCGAACGGGUGAGUAAUACAUCGGAACGUGCCCGAUCGUGGGGGAUAACGAGGCGAAAGCUUUGCUAAUACCGCAUACGAUCUACGGAUGAAAGCGGGGGAUCUUCGGACCUCGCGCGGACGGAGCGGCCGAUGGCAGAUUAGGUAGUUGGUGGGAUAAAAGCUUACCAAGCCGACGAUCUGUAGCUGGUCUGAGAGGAUGAUCAGCCACACUGGGACUGAGACACGGCCCAGACUCCUACGGGAGGCAGCAGUGGGGAAUUUUGGACAAUGGGCGAAAGCCUGAUCCAGCCAUGCCGCGUGCAGGAUGAAGGCCUUCGGGUUGUAAACUGCUUUUGUACGGAACGAAAAGCCUCUUUCUAAUAAAGAGGGGUCAUGACGGUACCGUAAGAAUAAGCACCGGCUAACUACGUGCCAGCAGCCGCGGUAAUACGUAGGGUGCAAGCGUUAAUCGGAAUUACUGGGCGUAAAGCGUGCGCAGGCGGUUUUGUAAGACAGAGGUGAAAUCCCCGGGCUCAACCUGGGAACUGCCUUUGUGACUGCAAGGCUGGAGUGCGGCAGAGGGGGAUGGAAUUCCGCGUGUAGCAGUGAAAUGCGUAGAUAUGCGGAGGAACACCGAUGGCGAAGGCAAUCCCCUGGGCCUGCACUGACGCUCAUGCACGAAAGCGUGGGGAGCAAACAGGAUUAGAUACCCCGGUAGU
This 789-nucleotide ribosomal RNA is filed under the name uncultured bacterium. RNAcentral describes it as "bacterial SSU rRNA". It matches the Rfam family "Bacterial small subunit ribosomal RNA", at positions 8 to 794 of the family's 1533-position model. The record is from RNAcentral.